RNAcentral lists this ribosomal RNA (439 nucleotides) under uncultured Leptospirillum sp. Its description in RNAcentral is "bacterial SSU rRNA". It matches the Rfam family "Bacterial small subunit ribosomal RNA", at positions 413 to 844 of the family's 1533-position model. Lineage: Bacteria; Pseudomonadati; Nitrospirota; Nitrospiria; Nitrospirales; Nitrospiraceae. The record is from RNAcentral.
GGCUUUCGGGGUGUAAACCACUUUUGCCCGGGACGAAAGGGGGGACCUGAAUAAGGUUGCCCGAUGACGGUACCGGGAGAAUAAGCCACGGCUAACUCUGUGCCAGCAUCCGCGGUAAGACAGAGGUGGCAAGCGUUGUUCGGAGUUACUGGGCGUAAAGAGUCUGUAGGUGGUCUGUCAAGUCUUUGGUGAAAGGCCGUGGCUUAACCAUGGGAAUGCCAAAGAGACUGGCAGACUGGAGGCUGGGAGAGGGAAGCGGAAUUUCCUGGUGUAGCGGUGAAAUGCGUAGAUAUCAGAAGGAAGGCCGGUGGCGAAGGCGGCUUCCUGGAACAGACCUGACACUGAGAGACGAAAGCGUGGGGAGCAAACAGGAUUAGAUACCCUGGUAGUCCACGCCCUAAACGAUGGGUCUAAUGUGUGGGAGGGUUAAGCCUCCCGU